GACGAACGCUGGCGGCGUGCUUAACACAUGCAAGUCGAACGGAAAGGCCCUGCUUUUGUGGGGUGCUCGAGUGGCGAACGGGUGAGUAACACGUGAGUAACCUGCCCUUGACUUUGGGAUAACUUCAGGAAACUGGGGCUAAUACCGGAUAGGAGCUCCUGCUGCAUGGUGGGGGUUGGAAAGUUUCGGCGGUUGGGGGUGGACUCGCGGCUUAUCAGCUUGUGGGUGGGGUAGUGGCUUACCAAGGCUUUGACGGGUAGCCGGCCUGAGAGGGUGACCGGCCACAUUGGGACUGAGAUACGGCCCAGACUCCUACGGGAGGCAGCAGUGGGGAAUAUUGCACAAUGGGCGGAAGCCUGAUGCAGCAACGCCGCGUGCGGGAUGACGGCCUUCGGGUUGUAAACCGCUUUCGCCUGUGACGAAGCGUGAGUGACGGUAAUGGGUAAAGAAGCACCGGCUAACUACGUG
Molecule: ribosomal RNA, 468 nt
Filed under: uncultured bacterium
Lineage: Bacteria
Description: partial 16S ribosomal RNA
Rfam family: Bacterial small subunit ribosomal RNA
Source: RNAcentral